GACCUCGGAUCAAGUAGGACUACCCGCUGAACUUAAGCAUAUCAAUAAGC
Molecule: ribosomal RNA, 50 nt
Filed under: Torrubiella sp. BCC47986
Lineage: Eukaryota; Fungi; Ascomycota; Sordariomycetes; Hypocreales; Cordycipitaceae
Description: partial 28S ribosomal RNA
Source: RNAcentral